RNAcentral lists this ribosomal RNA (263 nucleotides) under uncultured prokaryote. Its description in RNAcentral is "partial 16S ribosomal RNA". It matches the Rfam family "Bacterial small subunit ribosomal RNA", at positions 524 to 784 of the family's 1533-position model. The record is from RNAcentral.
UACGUAGGUGGCAAGCGUUGUCCGGAAUUACUGGGUGUAAAGGGAGCGCAGGCGGGACAGCAAGUCAGCGGUGAAAUACAUGGGCUUAACCCAUGAACUGCCGUUGAAACUGCCGUUCUUGAGUGGAUCAGAGGCAAGCGGAAUUCCGAGUGUAGCGGUGAAAUGCGUAGAUAUUCGGAGGAACACCAGUGGCGAAGGCGGCUUGCUGGGGUCGUAACUGACGCUGAGGCUCGAAAGUGUGGGGAGGCAAACAGGAUUAGAUA